AACGAACGCUGGCGGCAGGCCUAACACAUGCAAGUCGAGCGGACCUUUCGGGGUCAGCGGCGGAGGGGUGAGUAACGCGUGGGAAUAUGCCCUUCUCUACGGCGGCGUUGUGGGAAACUGGGGGUAAUACCGCAAAUGCCCGUUGGGGGACGGUUCUCUCGGGGUAGGAUUUGCCCGCGUUGGAUUAGGUGGUUGGUGGGGGAAUGGCCUACCAAGCUGACGAUCCAUAGCUGGUAUGAGAGGCUGAUCAGCCACGCUGGGACUGAGACACGGCCCAGACUGCGACGCAGGGGUGCAGUAGAGUAUCUUAGGCAAGGAGGCCAACCCUAGUGUCGCCAUGCCGGGUGUGUGAUCAAGGCCGUAGGAUUGUACAGCCCUCUCAGCUGGGGAGAUAGUGACGGUACCAGCAGAAGAAGCCCCGGCUAACUCCGUG
This 433-nucleotide ribosomal RNA is filed under the name uncultured bacterium. Its description in RNAcentral is "partial 16S ribosomal RNA". It matches the Rfam family "Bacterial small subunit ribosomal RNA", at positions 28 to 507 of the family's 1533-position model. The record is from RNAcentral.